GUCCCAACAUAGCUGGACUGGGAUUGCUCAUUAAGUUAAAACAAUUCACAUUAAACCAAUCAUAGAUGCACCUGUAGGUAAGCUACCUCCAAACCACAUUCCAAGCAAUCAGAUAACUAUUGUUUACAUUUCUUUUCUGAGGCUUCUCAGCUUCUCAGGUGAAAAAUCCUGGCGAAGGGAUUUUUCAUAAAAUAUGACAGAGGGGCCCUUGUCUUUCUGAUCACGAUAUGUUUAGGUUCUAAAUCAUUUCAGAUAGGAGUCUAAGUAACUUUAUUCAGUAGAAGUAUGGCUUUUUCAAAAGUGCAUUGUAUUCUGAAAAUGCUUCCUCAAAUGCAGAAUAUAGCAGGAAUUUGAAACUGUGUAAUGACAACUUAAGGAUGUGGAUGAAAAUCAGUACUCCUAUCUCAGAAUCUUUGCUAGUCAGAGUGACCCUGAGAUACGUACAAGCCUCUUUUUCCCAGCCUGGCAGUUGAAUAAGGAGUCAAGAUUUUUCUGUUCUUGUCCUCAAGGUUGUUUAUUAUUUCUUAUCUAUAACAUUCUUUCUCUGACCCACCACAGAUCUGUCUGGCCCGUUGGGUUGAGGCACACUGCCCGCCCUCGGGGUGGGGUUAUCUUUUUAUACUAAAAACUACAUGUACAUUAUUUACCAUAACUUCCCAAUACCUAUCACCUAUGUUAGACAGUGAGUUUCUAUCUUAAACCAAUCCAAAAGUGCCAACAUCACCCAGAACAUGGAGGCUAUGGAGAAGAAAAAAGAAGGACAAGGCAUGCCCAAAUUCCUCCAUCUUGGGACCCUGAGCCCCCAUUCUAAAACCCCAAAAAUCUAUUUUUCACCCCAUGACUAACUAUUAAUCUACUUAAACUCUCUUGACUUAUAAUUCUUCUUAUAAAGGUGGUAAUUUGCUCCUUGGAUCAAAAUCAAAGUCACAGGUGUCCUGUGUCCUGGGCUCUAUGCCAAGGUGUCUGAGUCCCCUGGGCAGGGGCUCGAGCCAUCCAGGACAGCCAGAGGCAUGUCCUGGGUUCCAACACUCCUACACUUGUAGUGAUUAACCUGUAGAACUUGCCAUCUGCAAUGUAUAUAAUUGAGGUAAAUAGAUUUGUGAGGAUCAAAUAGGGAUUAGAACCAUAAAUAAGCUAAUUUCUGUAUGCAGGAUAAAAAUUUCAGGGUCUGUGUAUCUCCCUACUUGUAGGCAGAACAGAGCAUAUCUGAUGCUAGAAAAGCAGCUUUACCCCUUGGGCAUGUAGCAGAGUUGUUCUAGCAGGAAGGAGGACGUCACUUUUGGCUGAAGUGUUAUUGUAUUUGUCCUGGUGGUAUAACUUCUUUGAGGCAGGAAACAAAUAUUUCUUCAUGGUCCAGUAUUAAUGUGUCUGGCAAAUACACCUUCACCAAGAAGCUCCUUCUGUUAAGGGUGGAGGAGACAGAAUUUUCUCUCUCUACUGCCACAAGGGUGAAGAAAUUAACACCCCUGGCCCCAUUUUACGUGUUGUCAUUAUCUGUUCUCAAUGCACGUUGCCUUUCUGUGACCAGGCAUUUCCCACCAUAGAAGUGGCAGUACCUCUGGAGCAAUGAAGGGAUGCCAGGAGAUGACAACAGAAUGACAGAAGUUGUUACCUACAUUACUUAGUGCAAAAUGGGAAAAUAAUCAUAUCCUGGUGGUCCAAGUGUUGUUGCAUUAAACCUAAUUCUGACAGAGAGCAAACAGAUGAUACCAGCAGGCUGUUAGUACAAAGGUGCUGGAUUGAUUAUGUUGCUUGUUACUUCAUGAGAAAACCUGGUUUUAAUGAAUAGAGCAAAGUGGGCAUGUAAGUGACCUGCACAGUUCUGUCAUGGUUCUAAUCAUGUUCACGUUAACUUCAAUUAUUAGAAGCUACUUCUGAAUGUUUACAGUGAUCAACUUCCAGUUCUAUAAUUACUCCUGUGCUUCCUAUGAUUUAUGGGGUGCCAACUGCUCAGAGCUUGAUGGACAGGAAAGCAAUACCAAAAUGUUACUGGACACUAAUUGGCAUCCUUGUUGGCAGAAUCAGCAGAAAGACUCUUGACUGAACAGCAGUGGAGAAUAAAACAUUUCCUGUCCUAAAGGCAAUCUUUUUCUAGCAGUAUUGUUUGAUAUCCACAAUAUGGAAUAAAAUAAAACUUGCUGUAU
Molecule: long non-coding RNA, 2144 nt
Organism: Agelaius phoeniceus (red-winged blackbird)
Lineage: Eukaryota; Metazoa; Chordata; Aves; Passeriformes; Icteridae
Source: RefSeq, a predicted model, not a curated record